RNAcentral lists this unclassified non-coding RNA (242 nucleotides) under Hevea brasiliensis (rubber tree). Lineage: Eukaryota; Viridiplantae; Streptophyta; Magnoliopsida; Malpighiales; Euphorbiaceae. The record is from RNAcentral.
GAAUUGAUGAGAUUUUUUCUUAAUUCAUGGGAUAUGUCUCGUAUUAAAGAAUCUCAUGAUUAAGAGAAAAUCAUGUAAUUGAUUAGCUUAAUUAGUGCUUGUAUUAAGGACCAAUUUAAGAAAUGCCAUAUAUCUUGUAUUUUCCAUUAUAAAUAUAGACUCUUAUAUAUUAUGCCAAGCACAAAUAAAUGAAAAUGUAAUUUUUUGAGAUUCAUUCUAAUUCUCUCCCUUUCUCUCCCUUU